GCCAGGCGUGGUGGUGUAUGCCUGUAAUCCCAACUACCCAGGAGGCUGAGGCAGGAGAAUUGCUUGAACCCAGGAGUUGGAGAUUGCAGUGAGCCGAGAUCCUGCCACUGCAUUCUAGCCUGGGCAACAGAGCAAGACUCUGUCUCAA
Unclassified non-coding RNA from Macaca fascicularis (crab-eating macaque), 148 nucleotides. It matches the Rfam family "Metazoan signal recognition particle RNA". From Rfam's summary of the family: The signal recognition particle (SRP) is a universally conserved ribonucleoprotein. It is involved in the co-translational targeting of proteins to membranes. The record is from Ensembl. NCBI's taxonomy places the organism in Eukaryota, Metazoa, Chordata, Mammalia, Primates, Cercopithecidae.